Molecule: long non-coding RNA, 2686 nt
Filed under: Salvia miltiorrhiza (redroot sage)
Lineage: Eukaryota; Viridiplantae; Streptophyta; Magnoliopsida; Lamiales; Lamiaceae
Description: long non-coding RNA (SMIL_LNC010572)
Source: RNAcentral
GCAUAAUCUCAAAGCUAUUAGUUUGAAAACUUUGCAACACAUCAAUAAAGUAAAAUGCACUAAGCGUUGCAGCGGAGUAACUUAAGUGGAUUACAUGUAUGAAGACAUGAAAUCCUGAACCUAAUUUAGUACUUAUGUUUCAAAGCUUCGCUCUGCUGACAUCCAUCUGCAUCACAGCUUAACCUGCACAUUUAGAAAACAUAUGCAGGGCUGAGUACUAAAAAGGUACUCAAUGGUCACAUGCCAAAAUAACUUUAAAGCUUGCUCUUAGAGCUAUAUAUUGAACUUGUCAUCUCAAGCAUCACACAGGAGUUUUAUUUAAAUAACCCGUGCACGCCAAAACUGUAAAACUUCCCUGUAAUUAUCAUAAACUUCACAUGCGUCUGCAGACAUACUUCUUUGUACUCUACCAUAUCUGCAAUGAUAACUGUGUGCCGAGAAGGUGGCCACCUUCUACGGUCACUGACCGGCCGAUACGUUAAACCGCCUCACGGUCCUAGACCGGCCGAUAUGCUAAACCAGCUCACGGACCUAGACCGGCCGAUACGCUAAAUCGGCUCACGGUCUUAGGCCGGCCGAUAUGCUAGAUCGGCUCACGGUCCCUUGUGUACACUAAUCCUGUCUAACAUCUGGAUAGAACAGGAUCCGAAUUCGAUUAACUUCUGGUGCCAGAUAGGUAUCAUACAAGCUCAUAAAAUAAUUUGGCAAGUCAAUAACUUUAAUAUAACUUCAUUCAUGUAAACAUCAUGAAAUAAUGUGCACUUCAGGUUUUGAGUUUAGAAAGCCCACCUGAUCGUGGUCUGACGAUACAGGUGAUUCUGAACUAUCGUUUCACCGUCUCUCUUGUGUAUGACCUUCAGUAUAAAUACUGACUAAUAAAUAAUGAGGAAAAUGACCAUGGACUAAUUUAUAAAGAAUGCUUAUGUUGGUUUUAAGGUGAUGGUUCUACUGAAAAUCUUGGCAUGAAGACAAGUUGCUAUUUUGGAAACUUAUCAACAAAUCUCCAUAUAGACUUAAACUGCGAUGAUCAUAACCCUGGCAUUAAUCAUAACUUUACUCACACUAAUGGAAUAAAUAAUUAUUUACUUAGGGACAAUAUAAAUCCCUUCUUUUCCUCUUCUUUAAAGAAUCUAAUUUCGAAAUAAUCUAAUGUCUAAUUUAUGCAUACUUACACUUGAUAAUAGCAUAAAUUAAUUAUAAAUGAACCAAAAUAAUUCAAUAUGUCUAGGCCAUUUAAUAAAUCAAGCCCAUUAUUAGCUAAUAGCUAAUAAUCCUAUUAUACAUAUUUAUAAAUUUAAGCUAAAAUAAUUCUAUAUGUUUAGACAAUAUAAUUCAAACUAAUUAUGAAUGAAUAGCUAAUAUUAUUUACAUAAAUUAUUGGGCUUAAAUAAUGAUAAAUCAAGGGUUCAAUUAAUAAAUUAACUGGCCCAACAAGUCUACUUGCCCAAGCAAUUAUUCUGAGCCCAAUUAAUCAUAAAAUAAUGAGCCCAUCAGAUCUUAAUUAGCCCAUGCAUUCAUCCAAGUCCAAUUAUAAUUACUAUUUUUCUUAUUAAAUAAAUUAAUACCAAAAUGAAAUAAUAAUAUGGAAUCUUCUAAUUGGAAACGAAAUAGUUCUUCUCCCUCUUUUCUCUUUUUUCUUUUUGUCACCUGCGUCUCUCUCUCUCGUCCGGCGAGCGUGGCCGAUCCUCGCCGCCUCCGGCGUGGCGAGGUCGGCACCCCUUCCUCCCCUCCUUCCCCUCUCUUUUUCUAUUUCUUCCCUUCAAUCUAAAAUCCCCAAAUUAUAAAAUCAAAAACCUAGGGUGUCUACCUCUCUUCAUCCCCUCUAGACUUCGUCUCUCCGGCGAAGCCUACCGUCCCGCCGUCGUCUCUGUCACGCCGGCGCCUCCUCUGUUUCAGGUAAGUCCCUGUCUCUCUCUCUACUUCUGUCUCUGCUCUCUCCCUCGAACUCCCUCUUUCUCUGCCCUCUCUCGCUCUCUCGCUCUGUCCAGGGCGCGGCGGCCGCCGCAAGCCACGACGGCGCUUCCAGCGCCGGUGCUCGCUGCCGCCUGCUCCGCUCCUCUCUCCUUCUAGCUCGUUCUGCCUUUCUCCCUUCUUCCUGCUGUCUGUUUCUAUCUCACACUCUAUCUCACUAUCUCUCACUCAAUCUCUCUGUUGGUAGCCACUGCGGACCGCCGUGGCGCAGGCAACGCCGGCAGUCGCGCCUUUGCCGCGGUGGCUCGCGUCUGCUGCUGCCGCUUGCCUCUUCUUCCUCCUCUGUUUCUGUUUCUCUUACCUUCUUUCUUUUCUAGUUUAAUAGCUUGUUUGGCAAAUCCCUAACUAUUUCCUUAUCUCAGGAAUCGAUGAUUCAACUCCGGCGAGGCAGCCCGCCUCCUGAUCAAUGCUCAAGAUUCUAUUUUUUUCUACCUUUCUUAUUGUAAAUUUAUGUUCUUUCAUUGAUUGAUUAUUGAAAAACUGAAGCUGUAAUGGUUGGGGAAAUCGUACUGUGCUUAUAGAAAUUAGAGUUAGAGAUAUCUGUUUGUCUUAACUGGUGUAGCUAUGUCUGUUUUCACUGCUUUUCUUUACAUAAAGAAUCUACUGUAUUGAAAGAAAGACUACCUUCUUUGAUGUCUCCACAACUACCUUCUUUGAUGUCUGCUGUGGAGGAUGUGUGUUUGAAUGGAUGAUUGCUGCGUGUUUAAGAUUGCAG